UAAAAUAGCUACUUCUAAUUUCGUAUAACCUUGAGUAAUAUGGACCGAGGGUAUCUACUUGGAACCGUAAAUUCCUAGCUACGAAAAAUGUGUGUGAUUGC
RNAcentral lists this non-coding RNA (101 nucleotides) under Halalkalibacter okhensis. RNAcentral describes it as "Bacillus okhensis Guanine sequence". It matches the Rfam family "Purine riboswitch aptamer". Rfam says of the family: Riboswitches are metabolite binding domains within certain messenger RNAs that serve as precision sensors for their corresponding targets. Allosteric rearrangement of mRNA structure is mediated by ligand binding, and this results in modulation of gene expression. Lineage: Bacteria; Bacillati; Bacillota; Bacilli; Caryophanales; Bacillaceae. The record is from Rfam by way of RNAcentral.